RNAcentral lists this ribosomal RNA (500 nucleotides) under uncultured Glomeromycotina. RNAcentral describes it as "partial small subunit ribosomal RNA". It matches the Rfam family "Eukaryotic small subunit ribosomal RNA", at positions 591 to 1092 of the family's 1831-position model. Lineage: Eukaryota; Fungi; Glomeromycota. The record is from RNAcentral.
CCAAUAGCGUAUAUUAAAGUUGUUGCAGUUAAAAAGCUCGUAGUUGAAUUUCGGGGUUAGUAGGUUGGUCAUGCCUCUGGUAUGUACUGGUCUCACUGAUUCCUCCUUCCUUAUGAACCGUAAUGCCAUUAAUUUGGUGUUGCGGGAAAUUUGGACUGUUACUUUGAAAAAAUUAGAGUGUUUAAAGCGAGCUAACGCUUGAAUACAUUAGCAUGGAAUAAUGAAAUAGGACGUUCGAUCUUAUUUUGUUGGUUUCUAGGAUUGACGUAAUGAUUAAUAGGAAUAGUUGGUGGCAUUAGUAUUCAAUUGUCAGAGGUGAAAUUCUUGGAUUUAUUGAAGACUAACUACUGCGAAAGCAUUUGCCAAGGAUGUUUUCAUUAAUCAAGAACGAAAGUUAGGGGAUCGAAGACGAUCAGAUACCGUCGUAGUCUUAACCAUAAACUAUGCCGACUAGGGAUCGGAUGAUGUUAAUUUUUUAAUGACUCAUUCGGCGCCUUACG